UACGGAGGAUCCAAGCGUUAUCCGGAUUCACUGGGUUUAAAGGGUGCGUAGGUGGAAUGACAAGUCAGUGGUGAAAACCUGCAGCUUAACUGUAGAACUGCCAUUGAUACUGUUAUUCUUGAGUACAUUGAUGUGAGUGGAAUGUGUCGUGUAGCGGUGAAAUGCUUAGAUAUGACACAGAACACCAAUUGCGAAGGCAGCUCACAAAACUGUAACUGACACUGAGGCACGAAAGCGUGGGGAUCAAACAGG
RNAcentral lists this ribosomal RNA (252 nucleotides) under uncultured bacterium. Its description in RNAcentral is "partial 16S ribosomal RNA". It matches the Rfam family "Bacterial small subunit ribosomal RNA", at positions 524 to 776 of the family's 1533-position model. The record is from RNAcentral.